Molecule: ribosomal RNA, 497 nt
Filed under: uncultured bacterium
Lineage: Bacteria
Description: partial 16S ribosomal RNA
Rfam family: Bacterial small subunit ribosomal RNA
Source: RNAcentral
GACGAACGCUGGCGGCGUGCCUAAUACAUGCGAGUUGAGCGCUGAAGGUUGGUACUUGUACCAACUGGAUGAGCAGCGAACGGGUGAGUAACGCGUGGGGAAUCUGCCUUUGAGCGGGGGACAACAUUUGGAAACGAAUGCUAAUACCGCAUAAAAACUUUAAACACAAGUUUUAAGUUUGAAAGAUGCAAUUGCAUCACUCAAAGAUGAUCCCGCGUUGUAUUAGCUAGUUGGUGAGGUAAAGGCUCACCAAGGCGAUGAUACAUAGCCGACCUGAGAGGGUGAUCGGCCACAUUGGGACUGAGACACGGCCCAAACUCCUACGGGAGGCAGCAGUAGGGAAUCUUCGGCAAUGGACGAAAGUCUGACCGAGCAACGCCGCGGGAGUGAAGAAGGUUUUCGGAUCGUAAAACUCUGUUGGUAGAGAAGAACGUUGGUGAGAGUGGAAAGCUCAUCAAGUGACGGUAACUACCCAGAAAGGGACGGCUAACUACGUG